Molecule: ribosomal RNA, 816 nt
Filed under: uncultured bacterium
Lineage: Bacteria
Description: bacterial SSU rRNA
Rfam family: Bacterial small subunit ribosomal RNA
Source: RNAcentral
AGAGUUUGAUCAUGGCUCAGAAUGAACGCUGGCGGCGUGCUUAACACAUGCAAGUCGAACGAGAACUCUUUAGCUUGCUAAAGAUAGUAAAGUGGCGCACGGGUGAGUAACGCGUGGGUAAUCUACCUCUGAAUUGGGGAUAACAUUGCGAAAGCGAUGCUAAUACCGAAUAAUAUCUUUUAAGGUAAUCCUUUUAAGAUCAAAGGUGGUCUCUACAUGUAAACUACUGUUUGGAGAUGAGCCCGCGUACCAUUAGCUUGUUGGUAGGGUAACGGCUUACCAAGGCUUCGAUGGUUAGCUGGUCUGAGAGGAUGACCAGCCACACUGGAACUGACACACGGUCCAGACUCCUACGGGAGGCAGCAGUGAGGAAUUUUGCGCAAUGGGGGAAACCCUGACGCAGCAACGCCGCGUGAGUGAUGAAGGCUUUCGAGUCGUAAAGCUCUGUCAAGUGGGAAGAACCCGGAGGAUGCUAAUAUCGUCUUCCGCUGACGGUACCACUGAAGGAAGCACCGGCUAACUCCGUGCCAGCAGCCGCGGUAAUACGGGGGGUGCAAGCGUUAUUCGGAUUUAUUGGGCGUAAAGGGCGCGUAGGCGGCCUCAUAAGUCAGAUGUGAAAGCCCGGGGCUUAACCCCGGAAGUGCAUUUGAAACUAUGGGGCUUGAGUAUGGGAGAGGGAAGUGGAAUUCCUGGUGUAGAGGUGAAAUUCGUAGAUAUCAGGAGGAACACCGGUGGCGAAGGCGACUUCCUGGACCAAUACUGACGCUGAGGCGCGAAGGCGUGGGGAGCAAACAGGAUUAGAUACCCUAGUAGUCC